Molecule: transfer RNA, 72 nt
Filed under: Stegodyphus mimosarum
Lineage: Eukaryota; Metazoa; Arthropoda; Arachnida; Araneae; Eresidae
Rfam family: tRNA
About the family: Transfer RNA (tRNA) molecules are approximately 80 nucleotides in length. Their secondary structure includes four short double-helical elements and three loops (D, anti-codon, and T loops).
Source: Rfam by way of RNAcentral
GCCUUCGUGGUGUAAUGGUCAGCACGCUCGGAACUUAGCGAGAGGUCCGAGGUUCAAAUCCCGGCGAGGGCA